Molecule: ribosomal RNA, 506 nt
Filed under: Klebsiella pneumoniae
Lineage: Bacteria; Pseudomonadati; Pseudomonadota; Gammaproteobacteria; Enterobacterales; Enterobacteriaceae
Description: partial 23S ribosomal RNA
Rfam family: Bacterial large subunit ribosomal RNA
Source: RNAcentral
GCGAGGCCGAAAGGCGUAGUCGAUGGGAAACAGGUUAAUAUUCCUGUACUUGGUGUUACUGCGAAGGGGGGACGGAGAAGGCUAUGUUAGCCGGGCGACGGUUGUCCCGGUUUAAGCAUGUAGGCUGGUUGUCCAGGCAAAUCCGGAUAAUCAAGGCUGAGGUGUGAUGACGAGGCACUACGGUGCUGAAGUAACAAAUGCCCUGCUUCCAGGAAAAGCCUCUAAGCAUCAGGUAACAUUAAAUCGUACCCCAAACCGACACAGGUGGUCAGGUAGAGAAUACCAAGGCGCUUGAGAGAACUCGGGUGAAGGAACUAGGCAAAAUGGUGCCGUAACUUCGGGAGAAGGCACGCUGGUGUGUAGGUGAAGUCCCUGCGGAUGGAGCUGAGACCAGUCGAAGAUACCAGCUGGCUGCAACUGUUUAUUAAAAACACAGCACUGUGCAAACACGAAAGUGGACGUAUACGGUGUGACGCCUGCCCGGUGCCGGAAGGUUAAUUGAUGGG